CGAGGAGGAGGACAAGGAGGACGAUGAUUUGUGCUCGGUACAAUCCGCAGUGGUUAUCGGUGGUUGUUGGAGGUGGUUGCCGGUGGUUGGAGGUGGUCGGAGGUGGACGAGGAGGAGGACGAUAAGGACGAUGAUUUGUGUUCGGUGUAACCCGAGGUGGUUAUCGGUAGUUGUUGGAGGUGAUCAGAGGUGGACGAGGAGGAGGACGCGGAAGACGAGGAAAACAAGGUCUACGAGGAGGACGAGGAUUUGUGCUUGAUGAGUUUAACAUUUUUAUAAUAUUUGAUGCAGUAGGAGUAGGAUCAGAAGUGAAUGCAGACAGCAUCAUGUCGAAAUCGUUAACUCUAUGAUGUUCUGCAAUAAGUUCUCAACUCUACCGUUGGAACAUCUCUGGGGGCGCAAGCACACGACGAUUUUCGGUUUUCACACCAGAACCCAUAAGGGGCAACUGUCUUUAUAUUCUUCUGUCACGCGUGAAGAAAUCGAUCCUGAAAAUGAUGGUGACGCCUGUUCGAUGUCAGCUGGUGACAAAAAUGUGUGGCGGGUAACCUAACAUUAGGGUUUGACUUUUAGGCCGCAUAGAUAGUGAAUUUUGUGGCGUGUGUGAUUGAAAAUGAUUAAUACAUUUUAUAAGUCUGUAGGUUUGAAAUAAAAUUUCAUGCCAUCAAUUUAAAUAUCUAGAUUUGCACCGGUAAAUAGUGUUUGCGUCCGAAUUCUACAACCAUCCAUCGGGUGUCAGUAUGGAACGUAACUUGUAUAAUACAGUGAACUGUAAUAUAUAACAGUCGAGGUCACAUAGCAAUGCAAAAGGAUGAUUAAAUAUUAAAUAAUGAAUCUGAAUAUUAGGUCAGAAAUAAAAAGUGCAACGAAUAUUAUCUGAUGCUAAAAAUGAGGGAUAUUGUGUAGUGCAGUGAUUAUCGUAAAUUGGAGGUAUUACUCAAGUAAUGACCUGCGUGCAGGUGCAAUGCUCUUUCGCAGAACAUAACAUGAAUGAUACUCUAUCAUUAGUACUUGAUGCAAACUGGAUUAAAAUGAAUAAAUGAUUGAAAAUUUG
Molecule: long non-coding RNA, 1054 nt
Filed under: Neodiprion lecontei (redheaded pine sawfly)
Lineage: Eukaryota; Metazoa; Arthropoda; Insecta; Hymenoptera; Diprionidae
Description: uncharacterized LOC124293968
Source: RNAcentral